GUGGUCAACUACCCUGUGGACCGCAAUAACCUCGGGAAACUGAGGCUAAUAGCGGAUAGCGCUCUCGAGCUGGAACAGCCGGGAGCGUGAAACGUUCCGGCGCCACAGGAUGUGACUGCGGCCGAUUAGGUAGAUGGUGGGGUAACGGCCCACCAUGCCGAUAAUCGGUACGGGUUGUGAGAGCAAGAGCCCGGAGACGGACUCUGAGACAAGAGUCCGGGCCCUACGGGGCGCAGCAGGCGCGAAACCUUUACACUGCGCGACAGCGCGAUAGGGGGACACCGAGUGCGAGGGCAUAGAGCCCUCGCUUUUGUGUACCGUAAGGUGGUACACGAAUAAGGGCUGGGCAAGACCGGUGCCAGCCGCCGCGGUAACACCGGCAGCCCAAGUGAUGGCCGCUAUUAUUGGGCCUAAAGCGUCCGUAGCCGGCCGUUCAGGUCCGUCGGGAAAUCCACUGGCUCAACCAGUGGGCGUCCGGCGGAAACCGUUCGGCUUGGGACAGGGAGACCAGAGGGGUACGUCCGGGGUAGGAGUGAAAUCCCGUAAUCCUGGACGGACCAUCGGUGGCGAAAGCGCCUCUGGAGAACUGAUCCGACGGUGAGGGACGAAAGCUGGGGUCUCGAACCGGAUUAGAUACCCGGGUAGUCCCAGCCGUAAACGAUGCUCGCUAGGUGUGGCGC
RNAcentral lists this ribosomal RNA (680 nucleotides) under uncultured archaeon. RNAcentral's name for it is "bacterial SSU rRNA". It matches the Rfam family "Archaeal small subunit ribosomal RNA", at positions 100 to 779 of the family's 1478-position model. The record is from RNAcentral.